Molecule: ribosomal RNA, 302 nt
Filed under: Streptococcus sp. oral taxon E43
Lineage: Bacteria; Bacillati; Bacillota; Bacilli; Lactobacillales; Streptococcaceae
Description: bacterial SSU rRNA
Rfam family: Bacterial small subunit ribosomal RNA
Source: RNAcentral
CCGCAUAAUAUUAAUUAUUGCAUGAUAAUUGAUUCGAAAAGAUGCAAGCGCAUCACUAGUAGAUGGACCUGCGUUGUAUUAGCUAGUUGGUAAGGUAAGAGCUUACCAAGGCGACGAUACAUAGCCGACCUGAGAGGGUGAUCGGCCACACUGGGACUGAGACACGGCCCAGACUCCUACGGGAGGCAGCAGUAGGGAAUCCUCGGCAAUGGACGAAAGUCUGACCGAGCAACGCCGCGUGAGUGAAGAAGGUUUUCGGAUCGUAAAGCUCUGUUUGUAAGUCAAGAACGUGUGUGAGAGUG